UAUCAGGUCAACAUGUUUCCUCCUAGAGC
Molecule: non-coding RNA, 29 nt
Filed under: Mus musculus (house mouse)
Lineage: Eukaryota; Metazoa; Chordata; Mammalia; Rodentia; Muridae
Source: RNAcentral